Molecule: transfer RNA, 73 nt
Filed under: Felis catus (domestic cat)
Lineage: Eukaryota; Metazoa; Chordata; Mammalia; Carnivora; Felidae
Also listed under: 1 other name
Rfam family: tRNA
About the family: Transfer RNA (tRNA) molecules are approximately 80 nucleotides in length. Their secondary structure includes four short double-helical elements and three loops (D, anti-codon, and T loops).
Source: Rfam by way of RNAcentral
GCCUGGCUGGCUCAGUUGGUGGACCGUGAGACUCUCAAUCUCAGGGUUGUGAGUUUGAGCCCCACAUCGGGUG